Molecule: long non-coding RNA, 428 nt
Filed under: Eucalyptus grandis
Lineage: Eukaryota; Viridiplantae; Streptophyta; Magnoliopsida; Myrtales; Myrtaceae
Description: long non-coding RNA (EGRA_LNC002287)
Source: RNAcentral
CCCAGUUCACUCCAAUGGCGGGUUCUGCGGCCGGGAACGAGGACGAGAGCACCAGGAGGAGCGAAAAUGUUGCAACUUUCGUCCUGGGUUGCAGCAUUUCCGGGUUUCAAGAUUGGUCAUCCAGGUGAGAGACGGGAUUCUUGAUUGGAUAGACGAUAUAAAGGAGUGAUUUUUAGUGCUCUGCAGGGGCAAGGCGGCGGGGGGAUGGUUCAGAUUGAAGCUGCCAAGGAGCAGCAGAGUGUGCAACCGUUCUUACAAAAAAGAAAAAGCUGCUGAAGAACCUACCAGCGACGGAGAUCUUUCUUGGGUCAUUUCUUGAAUUCUUUUAAGCUGCUAAUUAGUGCGUGGCGAGUGGACAUGAUCAGUCCCUCCGUAAUCUUGCUGGGGCCACUCUUCUUUCUUUGCACAUUUUCAAGAGCACAGGAAAG